AAAGAAAGCGUAAUAGCUCACUGGUCGAGUCGGCCUGCGCGGAAGAUGUAACGGGGCUAAACCAUGCACCGAAGCUGCGGCAGCGACGCUGAUGCGUUGUUGGGUAGGGGAGCGUUCUGUAAGCCUGUGAAGGUGGCCUGUGAGGGUUGCUGGAGGUAUCAGAAGUGCGAAUGGUGACAUAAGUAACGAUAAAGCGGGUGAAAAGCCCGCUCGCCGGAAGACCAA
This 225-nucleotide ribosomal RNA is filed under the name Salmonella enterica subsp. enterica serovar Derby. Its description in RNAcentral is "partial 23S ribosomal RNA". It matches the Rfam family "Bacterial large subunit ribosomal RNA", at positions 1125 to 1348 of the family's 2925-position model. The record is from RNAcentral. Lineage: Bacteria; Pseudomonadati; Pseudomonadota; Gammaproteobacteria; Enterobacterales; Enterobacteriaceae.